UUAUAUUAGAUAAAAACUAUCCUAGCAGCCACCUUGUCGUGCAAUAUCGUUCUCCUCUUCGUCUGGACAAAGAAGAAGAAGAACCCAGUUCCUCCACAUCGUUUCAACUCUGAGUAGGGAUUCGGCGUCGCAGCAGGUUGAGGUGGAGGAGGAGAUUGAAGAGCCGGAGGAGGUCAUUCCUAUUCUAUCUUCCAAAGCAGUUAUGGUUGAAAAGGCAUUCAAUUUAGCUGCACAAAAGAUGGGAUUUAAAUUUGUGUCCAAGAAUUGAGGCACAAUUCUGCUGCACCGUGUUGAGGAGAAAGUGACAUGGAGGGUUUGCUUGCCCACAUCUUAUCCACUAGUGAAGCUAAUAGAAGGAAUGCUAAUAAAGUGGUUCUGUAUAAGGAUGCAGCAAAGAAACAACUGCUGGAGUUUAUUUCUGCUCUUCGUGGUUGUGAACUAAUGUCACAAGCAUGCUCUUCUCUUGGCGUUAUUAUGAAUAUUGUUUGGAGACACACCUUUUUCUGUACUCAUUUUUGAACACAAUUAGUUGGGAAUUUCUGAAUGUAGAAGGGUGUUGAAGCUUUGGCAGAAGAUGUUCCAGCGAAUUAAAGCCUGUACCUUCUAGGCGCUCAUCAAAGAGGAACAGAGCAGCAAAAGUUCAUAAUUUGUCAAAAAAAAUUUUCUAAAUUCCUACAGUGGCUUUUUGUGGUACUUGGUUUUGAUUUCAUUCAAACAUAUGGUAGUUUUCCUUGUUGAGCAGAGAAGAAGGAGUAGGAUCAAUGAAAAAAUGAAGGCCUUGCAACAUCUAAGUCCUAAUUCUAUCAAGACAGAUCUUCUUUUGAUCGACUCCGUCAACAGGUCGGCUAAGAUAAAGCUAGCGAACUUUUGUGUCAUCAACUCAUCAAGUCUGCAUAUGGCAUCAAUGAGUAUCUAAAAUUUUUUAGUAUUACAGAUAUACAAGCUUGAAUUGGAGCAAAAGAGAUUAGAGGGGGAUGCUUUUGUUUAUAAUUUCCCUCAACAGUAGCUUAAACUCUCACCAGUAUAACAGAAGGUAUACUAUUAAUUCGAGUCCAUCAUAAGAGGAUUAAUAAAUAUCUUUCCUUCAAUUUUGUUGCAGAAGUAUGUUAAUGCUAUUUAAAUGAUGCUGUAGUUUCACUAAGACAUUUUGUAUUAUCUAGUUAGUUAGCUUGGCUUCUGCUUAUAAAGUAUCUCUUAUAUUAAUAUGCUACGUAUUUAACAAAGAUGCUUGAAAUUGGGUCUUGUAUGGACAAUGCGAAAUCCCGUGAACUGAUAGAGAACAGAGACGACGAAUUUGCUGACAUUUCUUUUGAAGAAUUAUUAGCACAAGAAAAGAAGGAUUCAUUCUGAUUCAUCAUCAUCUUCUUGUUCUUUGAGUUUGUGGCUGUCACCGAACGAAAGCAAACGAUGGGGAGAAUACUUCUUUCUCUUGUACACAUCGUUCUGGCUCACACUCUCUCGGCAUUGUUGUUCCCCUCAAACUCUACGAGAACUUCACAGAGUUGGAGUAUUUACUUCUUGGAUUGGUCUCAGCUGUUCCUUCAUUCUUGAUACCAAUGCUGCUAGUUGGUAAGGCUGAUGGAAACUUGCAUUGGAAGGAUCGCUAUUGGGUUAAGAAGUUCUUGACAAACAACUUCAUGUUCACUCCCGAAGUUUUCCCACAACCAUUACAUGGUAUGGAGAUUUCACGCCAUGUAAGAGAUUAUCUCUCGAACUUCAUCACUUCCUCCUCCCCCUCUUCAUCGACCGCCAAACACAACACUCAACGACAUAUAUCAAGUCCUCAACAACUACUCGUUUGGAAAAUUAAUGACGGAGAAGCAUAUCUCUGAGCUGGCAUCCAAGAGUGCAGAGAAUGGCGGCCUAGUGAACAUCGUUUAUACAUCCCAUGAUGUAAUCAUCGAAGGGUUCUAUAACACAGCAUGCGGGACUCUGUCAGCAUUACAAACACUCAACUCAGUUAUGGCUGGGGAAUCCCGAGACAUAGUUCCAAAUAAGUAGUCGUUGAGGACUUGAUAUAUGACGUUAAAAGUUGUGUUUGGCUGUCGCCGACGAGGGGGGCAGGAGUAGGAAGUGAUGAAGUUCGAGAGAUAAUCCCUCUUAGAUGGGUGAAAUUCCCAUACCAUGUAAUGGUUGUGGGGAAACUUCGGGAGUGAACAUGGAGUUGUUUGUCAGGAACUUCUGAACAUAAGGCACAUGAAACAAGAGAGAAAUAAGAAAGAGUAAUAAGGAGGAGAAAGAAGCCAUUUCUUAUGUAUAAGGAACGUGAAAUGAAGAUGACAUACUGUUAGAAUAUAUAAGAAAAUCGGUUAAGAAAAAA
Molecule: non-coding RNA, 2320 nt
Organism: Arachis ipaensis
Lineage: Eukaryota; Viridiplantae; Streptophyta; Magnoliopsida; Fabales; Fabaceae
Source: RefSeq, a predicted model, not a curated record